GAUGAACGCUGGCGGCGUGCUUAACACAUGCAAGUCGAACGGAAAGGCCCUGCUUUUGUGGGGUGCUCGAGUGGCGAACGGGUGAGUAACACGUGAGUAACCUGCCCUUGACUUUGGGAUAACUUUAGGAAACUGGGGCUAAUACCGGAUAGGAGCUCCUGCUGCAUGGUGGGGGGUGGAAAGUUUCGGCGGUUGGGGAUGGGCUCGGGGCUUAUCAGCUUGUUGGGGGGGUAGUGGCUUACCAAGGCUUUGACGGGUAGCCGGCCUGAGAGGGUGACCGGCCACAUUGGGACUGAGAUACGGCCCAGACUCCUACGGGAGGCAGCAGUGGGGAAUAUUGCACAAUGGGCGGAAGCCUGAUGCAGCAACGCCGCGUGCGGGAUGACGGCCUUCGGGUUGUAAACCGCUUUCGCCUGUGACGAAGCGUGAGUGACGGUAAUGGGUAAAGAAGCACCGGCUAACUACGUG
Molecule: ribosomal RNA, 468 nt
Filed under: uncultured bacterium
Lineage: Bacteria
Description: partial 16S ribosomal RNA
Rfam family: Bacterial small subunit ribosomal RNA
Source: RNAcentral